CGCGCCCAAAAAAAGUUCAGUUGACCGAUAGACUUUGACAAAGACAGACGCGUUUUUUAAGUUCUCUGAAAAAAAGUUUUGACUUUUAAAUUUUUUUACUAUGAAAGAAUUUUAGUUGACUGAUAGACUUUGACGAAGACAGACCUGUUUUUGUGAGCUCUGAAAAAAAAUUGACUUUGAAAUAUUUUUUACUAUGAAAAAGAUUUGAGUAUUACUGACUUGUACUUUGAGAGUUAAAUUGACUUCGCGUUAUAGAAUAUGACUUGGUACUCGGGUUAUUGAAUGACUGGCGGACUUUAGUGUUAGGUUAUUGUUAUGAGAUGACGACUUGACUUUGACUUGAGUUGUGUGCAAUUAAAUUUGUGUUGUGGUGUGAAUCGAUUGACUGUCAGUUGAAGUUCAGAUGUCGUGCUGUGUGGAUGGGUUUCUACAAAACGUGAGUACAAACUUUUGUGUUUGACUGUUGACGUGUCUCACUGUGUAUGAUGAUUUAUGAUGAUUUUAAGCGGCUGGCGUAUUAUUGCUGAGUUGUUGUACUGAUAGAGAAGUGAAAUGAGUUGGGUAUAAAUUACUCAGUACUGAUAUAGUGUCGAUAUGUUGUGAUGAGAGAUGAUGGUGUUACAAAAUAUUUACUGAGCUACUUUGGGAAACGAACAGAUGAUGUAAAAACAUUGGAAACAUAUUUCAUGAAAAUGCAUGUGCUUAUAUGUACUAAAUAUGAUAUUGCUUUACUUGUAUUUGCAUGCUGUUAACAUUUCUAUUUUAUUCCAGUGGGCUGUGGUGAGUAUUGCAGAUUUAACUUGUAUGUGUGGUUUUUAGUUAACGAUGCUUAAUGAAAACUGUUAUUGUACACUUAGUAUGGAAUGAUGUGAAUGAUGAUAUGAUGGGUAGAAUUAAUCAGUGCUUGUGUCUAGAAAUGCUGAAUGUUUAUUGAAAAGGCUAAAUGCUAGCCAGUACUAAGAGUUGAGCUACCGUGGGAAUGUGAAACGAACUGAUGGUGUAAUAUGAUGGUGUAUUGACAUACUUUUCUUAUAUGUACUAAAUAUGAUAUUGCUUUACUUGUAUUUGCAUGCUGUUAACAUUUCUAUUUUGUUCCAGUGUGCUGUGGUGAGUACUGUAGAUAUUACUUGAUUUUUAGUGUCUAUGAAUGCUGAUGUAUGGUAGCUAUAGCAUGAGCUCAAUGCUAACCAGUAUUAUGAGUUGAUGUAUUGUGGUGAUGCUAAUCGAACUGAUGAUGUAACAUGAUGGUGAACACUUACUGAAUGCAUAAAAUUUAUUGAAUUGCGUUUGUUGAUAUGCACUAUAAUAUGAUAAAUGUAUUGCUUAACAUGUAUAUUUCAUGAUGUUUAAUUUCAGUGGGCUGUGGUGAGUACUGUAGAUUGUAUUGCCUAUGUAUAGAAUUCAAUAAAAGAUUAUGACUGAAAACUGCUUUUGAUUCUUUUUGAACAGUUUUAGGGACUAUAAGUCUAUAACAAAAAUAUGUCGGUUGGCGUUCAUACAGCAAUGUUUUGAGUAGUACAGAAAUGUUUCUACGUUUGUGGUCGCCAGUUGUCUGUGAUGUGUAAAGUGAAAAAUACACGGAGCUUUGAAUACAACAAACAUUUACUGUUUUAACACAGAUUGUGUGCUAUGCAUUUUUCGAUGUAGAUCUUUUUCAGAUUUGACAUGAAAUGUAGACCUGACAUUUGAACAGAGCUGGGAAACGAAAAGGUAAGUUUGUUAAAUUUCACAAUGAACACUUGUGUUUUGACAAAAGAAGAGAUAAAGUGAGUUUUGUCAUCAUCAUGGUUUCUUUCAGAGUAUAACUCGUGAACAGAUGAAAACCUAUUUUUUGCUAGAUUUUCAUGUACUCUUUUUUUGGAUGAUAAGUAUGUCAGUAACUCAAAAUCAUACGGCUAGUACAGUAUGGAACAUGAAUGCUUUGUUCAGAUUUUCAGAUGUGUGCUGGCAGUUUAAGUCUGGCAGCUGAAGUGAACAGUCGUGUUUUCUGGAGCUCCAACAAUAUGCUAGAAGGUAAGUAACUAUGUUUGUUUUGCAUUGCAUGUUUUUAUAUGUUUCAGACUUUCAAGCAGAGAUGUCAUGCUGACUGGAGUUGAGCACAGGGCAGUGACAAAGUGAAAGGUAAGUACUUUUGACUGAAUGUUUGUUCUAUGCAUGUUUUGUUUCAAUACAUUUCAGGAGUGCUUAUCCAGUGAUGAUAUGACAGUUGGAGUGAACAGUGGAGCCAAGCAGUCUUGUUUUUGGAGCUACUCAACAAGCCUUGAAGAUGCUGAUGGCAGUGAUGGGUUUUCAAGCUGACCUGAACAGAAAAGCACUCAUAUGGUAAGUACAAAAUAGUUGUUAUAUGGGAUGUUUUGUGCAUGCUUUUAUGUUUCAGGUGUACUUGCUGACAGCGACGAAGACGAAUCAAGAAGAGGAACAUUGUUGAGAAAGUGAUUGGGACUUGCAAACAGGGUAAGUGUAACACUUGUGUUUGUUUAAUUUGUAACAUGCGUGCUUUGCUCUGUUUCAGAUUUCACAUGCAGAAAUUAAACAGGAUUUCAACUGCUGAGACACAAUUCAUCAAAAGUAAGGUAAGUUUUAAUUCAUUGAUUUGAGUUGUACAAUGUGUUCUUUACUUUAUUUCAGAUUCGAGUCACUGGUUUACACAUGGAAGAAGAUUUCCACGUCUGUUACUCAACUCUACAGAAGCAAGAUGUUUUGUUUCAGUUGAUGUCCAGAUGGCAAGCAGUACAGACGUGUUUCUUGGAGCUGCCAAACAGUGAGUACAAACGUUUUAUAUUUUUCAGUUGUUUACUCAUAGAAGUCUGUGAAAGAUGAUAACAAGGGUUGAAUCUAUCAGCACUUGUGUCUAAAAAUGCUGAUGUGUGAUGGUUUACUGAAAGGGGUAAAUGCUAGCCAGUACUUACACUUGAGCAACCGUGGGAUGUCGAACUAACUGAUGAUGUACUAUGAUGGUGAACACUUACUUUGUGUAUCGAAAUGCUUUUGUUGAUAUUUACUAAAUAUUGAUUGACAUUUGUUUGCAUGCUGUUAACAUUUCUAUUUCAUUUCAGUUGGCUGUGGUGAGUAUUGUAGUAUACAUUUGUUUCAAUAAAUCAUGAUGAAUGAACACUGAUUUCGAUUCUUUUUUACAGUUUUAGGGAUUAUCACUCUAUAACAACUCUGUCGGUUGGUGUUCGUGAAUGUGAGCUUAAUGUUUGAGUAGUACAAAAAUGUCUUUACUUUUGUGAUCGCCAGUUGUCUGUGAUGUAAAGUGGAAAAAACACAGCUAUGAAGCAUACAAUUGUUUCAAUAUUUUAUCAAUGAUAGUGUGCUAUGCAUGUUUUGAUUUAGUUCGUUUCAGAUACGACAUGACAUGAAGAGUUGACAGUCGAACAGAGCUGAGCAAAGCAGAAAGGUAAGUGUGUUUCAUUUUAGUAUGGACACUUGUAUUUUGUUUUUAUAUGGUAUGUUUUGUGCAUGCUAUGUUUCAGGUGUACUUGUAGUCAGCGACGAAGACGAUUCAAGAAGAGGAACAUUGCUGAGAAAGUGAAUGGGACUUGCAAACAGGGUAAGUGUUACAAUUGUUUGUUUGAUUUUUACCAUGCAUACUUUGCUUUGCUCUGUUUCAGAUUUCACAUGCAGAAAUGGUCUCAUAGCAGUGCCAACAGUGAAUAAGGAUUUCAUCUGCUGUGAAACAACUCAACAGAAAGUAGGUAAGCAUUGAAUGAAUGCACUUGAGUUGUACAAUUUGAUGUGAUGCUUUUCUCUGUUUCAGAUUCAAGUUCCUGGUGUAGACAGAGAAAUGUGUUUGAAGAAGGAAUUCUACUACUGUGAUUCAACUCUACAGAAGCAAGGUAAGUAGAAACACAAUUUUGGUUUAAUUUAACUCAUGUGUUUUGCACUGCAUGCUAUUUUUCAGGUCUCUCAUGCAGUGAUGGAAAAGAAGAAGAUUUCAAGAAAGAAUCACUGCUGCAACUCAGGCCUAUAACAAGGUAAGUGUUUACUAUAUUGUAUACAAAAUGUUUCUCUGUUUUACUCUGUUUGAAGGUUUCAAUUGCAGAGAUGUUGCAGAGAUGUUUUGACAGCUUGUGACAGAAAAGAAAUUCAGCAGCUGUGUAUCGACUGUAGCCACGAGGUAAGUCGAAACAAAUAUACUGGUUUGUAUGUUAUGUUGUUAUGUCCUUCUAUGUUUCAGACUUACAUUGCUGUGACUGUUCCACAGUGGGUCAAAAAAGAGACGAAUACAGGUUUCAAGAAGAAAAUUGGCUGUUGAAAACCUGCACAAAAUAUGAGGUAAGUAAACUAUUCUUUUGGUUUGUUUUGUGCUUUGUUAUGCUUAACUAUUUUUCAGAUUGGAGUGGUGGGUCGUUACAGAGCAGACUUUUGGACAACUGAGAAGUUAAACAACAGAAAAUGAUUCAAGAUCAGCUAGGUAAGUCUGGAUUAUUAUGCAUUGCUAAAUGUUUUUUUUAUUCCAGUAUGGCUGUGGUAAGUACACAAACUUUCUAUAAUUUAAUAUUGAACUGUUUUUAUGACCUGUAUUCUGCAUUGUAAAAUGUCUGUUUUUCAUUUCAGUAUCCUGUGGUAAGUACAAUUGCCUUCUUUAAUUUUCAUAUUGAACUGUUUUGAUGACUUGUAUACUACUAUGCAAUGCUUAAUGUUUUUUUCAUUUCAGUAGCCUGUUGGUAAGUACACUAACUUUCUAUAAUUUCAUAGUGAAUUGUUUUGAUGACCUGUAUUCUGCAUUGUAAAAUGUGUUUCUUUUUCAUUUCAGUAUGGCUGUGGUAAGUACAAUUGCCUUUCAUAUUGAACUGUUUUGAUGACCUGUAUUUUGCAUUGUAAAAUGUGUUUCUUUUUCAUUUCAGUAUGGCUGUGGUAAGUACACAAACUUUCUUUAAUUUUCAUAUUGAACUGUUUUGAUGACUUGUAUUCUGCUAUACAAAAUGUGCUUUUUUCAAUUUCAGGUCAGCAAUGGUAAGUAUAGUGUGUUUUUUUAUGUAUAAUUUUGUAUACAUAUUGUUUUUUUCAUCAUAGCAUGUUUUUUAUAUUUAUGCUUUGUGUAAGUAAAAUGUUCAUAAAUCAUUCUUAUCUUUAAACUAAAAAUGUAUUUUGAUAUGCAAAAUGUCUGUAUGAUUUCAGUUGCCAGAGGUGAGUACCAUAACAGUUGAAAAGUUAGUUUUGUUUAGUUCAAGUUUUGGUUCACAGUUUUGUUUGUUAUUUGGCAAAAUUUACAUGUAUGCAUUGAGUCUUGAUUUCAGCUCGAUUGUGGACUGAAGAAGAUUGCCAGCAGAGGGAUUGGAUACAAAAUACAAACCCUACUACAAGACGAGUGUUUUCUACUACUAGACGUGUCAGGUUUACUUCCAGGCGAGCAGUGACAACAAGGCGCCUUUGUGGAAACAUCAAAACAAACAACUCUACUGCAAGACGAGCAGUAACAGCAAGGCGCCUGAACAUGCAACACAAUAAAAAAAAUGCCAAUUUGCAAACCUUGAUGUGGACACCGAGUAGUCAAUACAUACGUGUGGCGUAUAGCUGCGACAAAACCGUGGGUCCAUCGCACCGAUAACUUGAACAUUGGCCCGUGUAUGGACAUCAGUGCAACUUUGUGAAUCCAUGUAUCUUUGUGAAUCCAUGUAACAUUGCGAAUGUGUGUCGAUCGAAAAAUGUGUACAUUCUGAACUGAAACGAACUCGGUGUUGCAAGUGGCAAGUGUUGACAGUGUGUAUGUUUAUGUUUAUGUUUUUACAUGAAAACUAAAGGAGAUUGUUCUCCUACCUUUUUUUUCCUUGUUUUAUUGCGCUGGCCAGCAAUAUUGAUGUAUUGAUGUAUGUGUUUGUGUUUAAACUAUGCAAUACCAAAAUCAAACAAAAAAUAAACAUUAACAGUCAUUAACUGUGUUUGGGCGGCCGAGGGGUUUAAGACUCCACAAGUGUGAAGCGCACUGAUAGCACUUGGGGGUGAACACCUCGGUAUUUCGGUGCUAAAAUGUUUUCACGGUGCUUAUCUUGACGCACUGUUAAGACUACCAACCAGUUAAUGAUUGCUUCAUCUUUAAACAAAAAGUAAGUCUCUACUUUGGCACAAGAGACUCCAAGUACCAAAUACCAACAAUUAAAAAGCAGACGUUUUUCAAAACUAUGAUCGCUGAGAUUGAUAGUCAGAUGGAGUCCUGCCCAGUUAGCUGUGUAGCGGUCUAGGGCGGGG
Molecule: long non-coding RNA, 6192 nt
Organism: Dreissena polymorpha
Lineage: Eukaryota; Metazoa; Mollusca; Bivalvia; Myida; Dreissenidae
Exons: 6
Source: RefSeq, a predicted model, not a curated record